GCACUGGCUGUCCUCAGGGCUGUGUGCUGAGCCCAUUGCUCAUGCUCUAUGCCUACGACUGCACCUACUCUCACUCCAGCAACAAUAUCAUCAAGUUUGCUGAUGAUACCACCGUGGUGGGACUCAUUUCUGGUGAGGAUGAGACCGCCUAUAGAGACAAGGUGCAGCAGCUGUCUGUAUGGUG
Thalassophryne amazonica is the source of this 184-nucleotide long non-coding RNA. RefSeq lists it as uncharacterized. The transcript has 2 exons. The record is from RefSeq and is a predicted model, not a curated record. NCBI's taxonomy places the organism in Eukaryota, Metazoa, Chordata, Actinopteri, Batrachoidiformes, Batrachoididae.